UGCGUAGGCGGAUAUAUAAGUUAGAUGUGAAAAGCCAGGGCUUAACCUUGGUCGUGCAUUUAAGACUGUAUGUCUAGAGUUUGUGAGAGGGGUGUAGAAUUCCAAGUGUAGCAGUGAAAUGCGUAGAGAUUUGGAGGAAUACCGAUGGCGAAGGCAGCGCCCUGGCAUAGAACUGACGCUGAGGCACGAAAGCGUGGGUAGCAAACAGGAUUAGAUACCCUGGUAGUCCACGCCCUAAACGAUGUUUACUUGCUGUUGGGGGUAACCUAAGUAGCGAAGCUAACGCGAGAAGUAAACCGCCUGGGGAGUACGGUCGCAAGAUUAAA
This 326-nucleotide ribosomal RNA is filed under the name uncultured bacterium. Its description in RNAcentral is "bacterial SSU rRNA". It matches the Rfam family "Bacterial small subunit ribosomal RNA", at positions 568 to 898 of the family's 1533-position model. The record is from RNAcentral.